Molecule: long non-coding RNA, 216 nt
Filed under: Capsicum annuum
Lineage: Eukaryota; Viridiplantae; Streptophyta; Magnoliopsida; Solanales; Solanaceae
Description: long non-coding RNA (CANN_LNC018762)
Source: RNAcentral
GACUUUCCACAAAUCGCGAUACAUCUUAGUAGCUUUUAGGUGUAUAGAGUAACGCACACCAUGCUUUUCUACAAGAAUUUGCUGUCUCAAAUCAUCAACACACAAAACAUAUAAAUGCCCUAGCAACGCAACACACCAUCUCCCUCUUGGGAGAAAACCUUUACUUUCUGGUCUCUAACUAAUUCCUUCAACUUAAUUGGACUCGGAUCCCUGUCU